UUACGGCCAUAUCAGGUUGAACACAUGGUUCUCGUCCGAUCACCGAAGUUAAGCAACGUCGAGCCUAGUCAGUACUUAGAUGGGUGACCGCUUGGGAAUACCAGGUGCUGUAA
RNAcentral lists this ribosomal RNA (113 nucleotides) under Acanthosepion pharaonis. Lineage: Eukaryota; Metazoa; Mollusca; Cephalopoda; Sepiida; Sepiidae. The record is from RNAcentral.